GACGAACGCUGGCGGCGUGCUUAACACAUGCAAGUCGAACGGAAAGGCCCCUUUGGGGGUACUCGAGUGGCGAACGGGUGAGUAACACGUGAGUAACCUGCCCUUGACUUCGGGAUAACUUCAGGAAACUGGGGCUAAUACCGGAUAGGAAUCCUUGCUGCAUGGUGGGGGUUGGAAAGCUUCGGCGGUUUUGGGUGGACUCGCGGCUUAUCAGCUUGUUGGGUGGGUAGUGGCUUACCAAGGCUUUGACGGGUAGCCGGCCUUAGAGGGCGACCGGCCACAUUGGGACUGAGAUACGGCCCAGACUCCUACGGGAGGCAGCAGUGGGGAAUAUUGCACAAUGGGCGGAAGCCUGAUGCAGCAACGCCGCGUGCGGGAUGACGGCCUUCGGGUUGUAAACCGCUUUCAGCAGGGGCGAAGCUUGUGGUGACGGUACCUGCAGAAGAAGCACCGGCUAACUACGUG
This 465-nucleotide ribosomal RNA is filed under the name uncultured bacterium. Its description in RNAcentral is "partial 16S ribosomal RNA". It matches the Rfam family "Bacterial small subunit ribosomal RNA", at positions 28 to 507 of the family's 1533-position model. The record is from RNAcentral.